GACGAACGCUGGCGGCGUGCCUAAUACAUGCAAGUUGAGCGAUGAAGAUUGGUGCUUGCACCAAUUUGCAGAGCAGCGCACGGGUGAGUAACGCGUGGGGAAUCUGCCUUUGAGCGGGGGACAACAUUUGGAAACGAAUGCUAAUACCGCAUAACAACUUUAAACAUAAGUUUUAAGUUUGAAAGAUGCAAUUGCAUCACUCAAAGAUGAUCCCGCGUUGUAUUAGCUAGUUGGUGAGGUAAAGGCUCACCAAGGCGAUGAUACAUAGCCGACCUGAGAGGGUGAGCGGCCACAUUGGGACUGAGACACGGCCCAAACUCCUACGGGAGGCAGCAGUAGGGAAUCUUCGGCAAUGGACGAAAGUCUGACCGAGCAACGCCGCGGGAGUGAAGAAGGUUUUCGGAUCGUAAAACUCUGUUGGUAGAGAAGAACGUUGGUGAGAGUGGAAAGCUCAUCAAGUGACGGUAACUACCCAGAAAGGGACGGCUAACUACGUG
Molecule: ribosomal RNA, 497 nt
Filed under: uncultured bacterium
Lineage: Bacteria
Description: partial 16S ribosomal RNA
Rfam family: Bacterial small subunit ribosomal RNA
Source: RNAcentral